CAGCCUGUCAGUGUAAUGGUCACAGCAGGUGUGUGAACGGCAGCGUGUGCGAGCGCUGCGGGAACCUGACGGCAGGGACGCACUGCCAGAGCUGCAUGCCCGGUUAUUAUGGAGACCCCAUCAACGGAGGGAAAUGCAACGCGUGUAAGUGUAACAGUCACGCCAACGUUUGCCACGUCAACACGGGAAAGUGCUUCUGCACCACCAAGGGCAUCAAGGGAGACCAGUGUCAGCUAUGUGACUCAGAGAACCGUUACCUUGGUAACCCCCUCAGAGGAACGUGUUAUUGUAA
Paralichthys olivaceus (Japanese flounder) is the source of this 292-nucleotide non-coding RNA. The record is from RefSeq and is a predicted model, not a curated record. Lineage: Eukaryota; Metazoa; Chordata; Actinopteri; Pleuronectiformes; Paralichthyidae.